RNAcentral lists this ribosomal RNA (449 nucleotides) under uncultured bacterium. RNAcentral describes it as "bacterial SSU rRNA". It matches the Rfam family "Bacterial small subunit ribosomal RNA", at positions 355 to 796 of the family's 1533-position model. The record is from RNAcentral.
UCGAGAAUCAUUCGCAAUGGGCGAAAGCCUGACGAUGCGACGCCGUGUGAGCGAUGAAGGCCUUAGGGUCGUAAAGCUCUUUCGCCUGGGAACAAGAGAAGCCGGCUAAUAUCCGGUGGAUUUGAGGGUACCAGGUAAAGAAGCACCGGCUAACUCCGUGCCAGCAGCUGCGGUAAUACGGAGGGUGCAAGCAUUAAUCGGAUUUAUUGGGCGUAAAGGGCGCGUAGGCUGACAAGUAAGUCAGAUGUGAAAUCCCGGGGCUCAACCCCGGAACAGCAUUUGAAACUGCAUGUCUAGAGGGCAGGCGGAGAAAACGGAAUUCCACAAGUAGCGGUGAAAUGCGUAGAUAUGUGGAAGAACACCGGUGGCGAAGGCGGUUUUCUAGCUUGGACCUGACGCUGAGGCGCGAAAGCAAGGGGAUCAAACAGGAUUAGAUACCCCCGUAGUCC